UUUUUUUUUUUUUGGUCUUUUUGCCUUUUCUAGGGCCGAACCUGUGGUAUAUGGAGGUUCCCAGGCUAGGGCUCUAAUUGGAGCUGUAGUUGCCGGCCUACGCCAGAGCCACAGCAACUCGGGAUCCCAGCCACAUCUGCGACCUACACCACAGCUCACGGCAAUGCCAGAUCCUUAACCCACUGAGCAAGGCCAGGGAUUGAACCCGCAAUCUCAUGGGUCCUAGUCGGAUUCAUUAACCACUGGGACACAACGGGAACUCCUGAAGUUUCACUUUUAAAUUAGCAUUUCCUUACCUCAAAGGGUAAAAAAAAAACCCCACAAGAUUCAACGCUUUGACGUGUUUUAUCAUUUCCUCAACACACUUAAAUUUAAUACACUCCUUUUAUAAUACUGGUAUAGAGCAAAACAGUAAAUUUCCAACAGUUCUCCUGUGUAAGUCUUUAGAAUUACCAGUACAAUAAUAAAGAAAUAAAGAAAACAUCGGAGGUCCUGCGGUGGCUCAGUGCUAAUGAACUGGACUAGUAUCCAUGAGGACAGGGGUUUGAUCCCUGGCCUUGCUCAGUGGGUUAAGAAUCUGGCAUUGCUGUGGGAUCCUGAGCUGCUGUGGCUGUGGCGUAGGCCAGCAGCUGUAGCUCUGAUUCCACCCCUAGAAUGGGAAUUUCCAUAUGCGUGGGUGUGGCUCUAAAAAGACAAAAAAAGAAAAGAAAACAUCAUCUGAAAGUCUCAAGGUAGACAAAGAUUACAAACUCUAGGGAUAAUCCAAAUAAAUUAUAAACUCGUUUAAUAAGGAAAUGUUUUUUGUUUGUUUUGCCACACCUGUAGCACAGAAGUUCCUGGGCUAGGGAUCAAAUCUGAACUACAGCUGUGUCCUAUGACCCAGCUGUGGCAAUGUAGGAUCCUUAACUGGCAGCAGGAAUUCCUAUACCUGCAUUCUUCUUAAGGGUUGUUAAGAACCAAUUAAGGAAUUAAAAAAGAGGACUAAAGCACUUAGAUAAUAAAAAUAUACAAAUAUUGAAGUGUACUUAAAAAAAAAACCCCUAAGUUAAAAUUUUCAUUAACUAUUAUUUAUUUAUUUAUUUAUUUAUUUAUUAGGCCUUUUUUAGGGCUGCACCCGCACCAUAUGGAGGUUCCCAGGCUAGGGGUCUAAUUGGAGCUGUAGCUGCCAGCCUACUCCAGAGCCACAGAAACACCAGAUCCGAGCCUCGUCUGCAACCUACACCACAGCUCAUGGCAACGCCUGAUCUUUAACCCACUGAGCAAGGCCAGGGAUAGAGCCCACAACCUCAUGGUUCCUAGUCGGCUUUGUUAAUCAUUAACUAUUUUCUAAGUCCUAAUUUUAUCUGACAAGCUAGUAACUAGAACAUUUACAAUUAUAGAAAAGACACCCUUCCUAAAAGAAGAUGUGAAAAGAUCAAUAAGUAAUAAUGUAAUCUCUUUCAUUAUCUGGCACUCCAGAAAGUUCAAGAUAAUCUAGUGUAUUUGAACAAGACUCUUGUUGAGAACUCUAUAAGCAACAUCAACAGACUACUGCAUUCAGCUGUAGCUCAUCUCUAGGUUAGUAAAUCAUAUUUGCCUAAUAUUCCCCAAUACAAUUAAACUUAUAUAAAGCAUUAGCAUUCAAAGUUCUAAAUAAAAACCAAUUAACACCCAAAUGCCAGCUUUUAUUUACUAUUUGUCUUCACCUUUAUAAAUAAAGGGUCAAAUACUGUCACAAAAAAAAAAAAAAAUGAGCAAGAGGAUAUUCACAGGGCUGUCAUUUUUUGGCCUCGCCCUUGACACGUGGAAGUUCCCUGGCCAGAGAUCAAAUCCAUACCACAGCAGUGACCCGAGUCACUGCAGUAACAAUGCCAGAUCCUUAACCUGCAGCGCCACAAGAGAACUCCCAUAGGGCUGUCUUUAAAGUAAGAGUGAAAGGAGUUCCCUGUUGGUUUAAUGGUUAAGGAUCCAGUGUUGCCACCGUUAUGUAACUGGUUCAAUCCCUGCCCAGGGAACUUCCACACACCUUGGGUAUGGCCAAAACAAGUAAAAUAAGAGUGAGAGGCAGACACAGAGAACAGACUUGUGGUUGUCAAGGGGGAGGGAUGAAUUGGGAGUUAGGAAUCAACAGAUGCAAACUAUUAUAUACAGAAUGGAUAAACAACAACGUACUACUGUAUAGCACAGGGAACUAUAUUUGAUAUUCUGUAAUAAACCAAAGGGAAAACAAUGUAGAAAAGAUUGUAUGGGAGUCUGCUGGUGGCUCAAUGGGUUAAGGAUUCAGCAUUGUCACCACUAUCAUGUGGUUCAAUCUGACUUGGGAACUUCUGUAUGGCAAGGGCAUAGGCAAAAAAAAAAAGGAAAGAAUGUACAUACAUUACUGAAUCACUUUGCUAUACAGCAGAAAUUAACACUGUAAAUCAACUAUACUUUAAUAAACUAAAAAAAGUAAGAGGGAAAAGGAAGAAUGAAACUGCUAAUAUAGCAACUGAGAUCACUACAUCUCUUGUUAAAAUGAUCUAGACUGUACAAUACCAACAAAAGGUGAGAAAGACAAAAUAAAAAUACAUUAACUUAAUUAGUGAAAAUGUCUCAAGACCUACCAUUUAAAUCUUCCAUCACACUGGUUAAAUACAAUACUCAUUAGAAUCACUGACUUAGAUCUUCCUCUGGAGCUCUCCUAGACUCCUAGCUCUAAGUGGAACUCAGUGUUUGUUAAAUUUAGUCUUUUGUCGUUUGAGGGCCAUACCGAGGCAUAUGGAGGUUCCCAGGCUGGGGGUCUAAUCUGAGCUGUAGCCGCCGGCCUACGCCAGAGCCCCAGCAAUGCCAGAUUCGAGCCAAGUCCUCGGCCUCCACCACAGCUCACAGCAACGCCAGAUCUUUAAGCCACUGAGCGAGGCCAGGAGUGGAACCCACAACCUCAUGGUUCCUAGUCAGAUUUGCUUCCGCUGCGCCAUGAUGGGAACUCUGGAAGCGCUUUUUAAAAAGUAAAAAAGUUACUGAGAGAAUAUCUUACUUGCAUCAAAUUACAAAGUUUUGUAUAUAGUCCAACCCCUACAGGUUCCAAGUGGAAAGAACUCCAGAAACAGUUACAGGGUAAAAUAUUUGGCCAUAAGCAUAGACAUUACGGCAGCACCCGUGGCAUAUGGAAGUUUCCAGGCUAGGGGUUGAAUUGGAGCUGCAGCUGCAUGUCUACAGCACAGCCACAGGUAGGCUGGAUCCAAGCCACAUCUGUGACCUAUGCCACAGCCUGUGGCAAUGCCCAGAUCCCUAACCCACUGAGUUGAGGCCAGGGAUCAAUCUUGCAUCCUCACAGAGACUAUGUUGGGUUCUUAACCUGCUGAGCCACAAAGGAAACUCCAACACUGCUAUAUUUUAAAAGAACAUCUAUUUAAAAAAAGAAAAAGCAUUUAAGGACCAGUCUUAGGAACUUUUUGAAAAUAAAAAUUCACUCAAGUUUUUGUUUUUGUGUUUCUUUUUAGGGCCAUACCCGAGCCAUAUGGAGGUACGGCCCUAAAAAAGCAAAAAAAGAAAAAAAAAAAAGAGUAAAAAACAGUAACCAAAAAACCUCCCACCAACCACCUUACAUUUGAUACUGUUACACAAACUGAAAGCUACAAACCCCUUUUAUGAGAGUUUAUUUUUAAUUUUUAUUUAUUUUUGGCUGCUAUGGUGACAUGUGGAAGUUCCUGGGCCAGGGAUGGAACCCACACCAGAGUCGCAGCCUGCACCAUAGCUGUGGCAAUGCCAGAUCCCUAACCUGCUGCAACCUCCUCUUUAAUGAGCAUUUAAAUGAGAAGUUUACAGUUCAAUGGUUACUCUAGCAUCCUUAACGAUAAAGCUUUGAGGUUAAACAGAAUAGUGGAGGAGUUCGCUGGUGGCCAAGGAGGUUAAGGAUCCAAUGUUGUCACUGCUGUGGUGCAGCUUCAGUCCCUGGCCUGGGAACUUCUGCAGGCAUGGACAAAGAAAAAAAAAAAAAAAAAGUAGGAAUAUUUGUUAUAGUUUGAGACUACACAAAAUUUUGUGCACAGUUUGAGACUUUUAAGAGACCUACAUUUGGGAGUUCCUUCAGUGGAGCGAUGGGAUCAGCAGUGUCUUGGGACCUCUGGGACAAUGGUUUGAUCCCCGGCCUGACACAGUGGAUUGCGGAUCUGGUGUUGCCGCAGCUGCAGCCUGGGUUGUACUAUGGCUCGGAUCUGAUCCCUGGCUUGGGAACUCCAUAUGCCUAGGGGUGGCCGAAAAAAAAAAAAAAAGAGAGAGAGAGAGAGAGAACUACACUUGAAUUCAAGGAGAUCUCAAGAGAGUCGCAUUCAGUAAGUGUUCAAAAUAAAACAAAUUAUACAACUAAUAAAUCUUCAGUUUACUUCUUCCAAGAAGCAAGCACACUUUUUCCUGCUUGACACAGCUUUGCAGAAAAGUGGGGAAAAAUUCAAUGGUAUGUUAAAAUCUGCAUAUUUUAAAAAAAAAGCACAAGUAGUGUCCCACUUUAUUCUUUUUUUUUUUUGAUCUUUUUGCCUUUUCUUGGGCAGCUCCUGCGGCAUAUGGAGGUUCCCAGGCUAGGGGUCAAAUCAGAGCUGUAGCCGCCGGCCUACACCAGAGCCACAGCAACACUGGAUCCUUAACCCACUGAUCAAGGCCAGGGAACGAACCGCAACCUCAUGGUUCCUAUUGGGAUUCAUUAACCACUGAGCCAUGAUGGGAACUCCAGUCCCACUUUAUUCUUAAACUAAGCAUCAAUAACAACAUGUAGUGCUGAAGAUCUGAAAGCUCAGAUAGUGAAAAGGAGCUCCAAAAGUUACAAGUUGGCUAACAGUCUCUCUAUUCUGCCUAAGAUUAAAUUCUGUCUUUCAAUAAAAGGUGACCAUUAGCUAGCCAGUUACACUUUGUUUUGUCCUAAUGUAACCCAUCAAGAAGACCUGAUCAAGACUUUCUUUUUUUUGUCUUUUUUUUUUUUUUUUUUUUUUUUUUUGUCUUUUUGUCUUUUGUUGUUGUUGCUAUUUCUUGGGCCGCUCCCGCGGCAUAUGGAGGUUCCCAGGCUAGGGGUCGAAUCGGAGCUGUAGCCACUGGCCUACGCCAGAGCCACAGCAACGUGGGAUCCGAGCCGCGUCUGCAACCUACACCACAGCUCACAGCAACGCCGGAUCGUUAACCCACUGAGCAAGGGCAGGGACCGAACCCGCAACCUCAUGGUUCCUAGUCGGAUUCGUUAACCACUGCGCCACGACGGGAACUCCUGAUCAAGACUUUCUGAUGGCAGUUUAUCCUCAAGUGUUUUCAAAUACUCAGAACAUUUUUUUUUUCUUUUUUUUUGUCUUUUUGUCGUUGUUGU
This 5308-nucleotide long non-coding RNA is filed under the name Sus scrofa (pig). RNAcentral's name for it is "lncRNA (ENSSSCG00055003620.1)". Lineage: Eukaryota; Metazoa; Chordata; Mammalia; Artiodactyla; Suidae. The record is from RNAcentral.